Manis javanica (Malayan pangolin) is the source of this 715-nucleotide non-coding RNA. The record is from RefSeq and is a predicted model, not a curated record. Lineage: Eukaryota; Metazoa; Chordata; Mammalia; Pholidota; Manidae.
UGAAACUCUCGCGAGACUCUGAGCCCGACUUGUGCGCCCGGGAAACCCUGUUGCUCCCUUUCCCCUGGCUGGCAGCGCGGAGGCCACACGAUGCCUGGAGUUACUGUAAAAGACGUGAACCAGCAGGAGUUCGUCCGAGCCCUGGCAGCCUUCCUCAAAAAGUCCGGGAAGCUGAAAGUCCCUGAAUGGGUGGACACUGUCAAGCUGGCCAAGCAUAAAGAGCUGGCUCCCUACGAUGAGAACUGGUUCUACACACGAGCUGCCUCCACAGCACGGCACCUGUACCUCCGGGGCGGCGCUGGGGUCGGCUCUAUGACAAAGAUCUAUGGGGGACGUCAGAGAAAUGGCGUCAUGCCCAGCCACUUCAGCAGAGGCUCUAAGAGUGUGGCCCGCCGGGUCCUCCAAGCCCUGGAGGGGCUGAAAAUGGUGGAGAAGGACCAAGAUGGGAGCAUCUACUGCCCCCGUGCAGAGAGGUACCACGUCUGUCCUGCGUAGUCUGCACCUGCCCCUCAGGCAGGCAAGGGAUUCUGCAGAAAGCGAACAGUGAGGGGCCUCACCCCAACCUCUCUGGCUGACUACCCUGAGCUCCAGGAAGGGGCCGCAAACUGACACCUCAGGGACAGAGAGAUCUGGACAGAAUCGCCGGACAGGUGGCAGCUGCCAACAAGAAGCAUUAGAACAAAUGAUGCUGGGUUAAUAAAUUGCCUCAUUCGUA